RNAcentral lists this ribosomal RNA (466 nucleotides) under uncultured bacterium. Its description in RNAcentral is "partial 16S ribosomal RNA". It matches the Rfam family "Bacterial small subunit ribosomal RNA", at positions 28 to 507 of the family's 1533-position model. The record is from RNAcentral.
GAUGAACGCUGGCGGCGUGCUUACCACAUGCAAGUCGAACGGAAAGGCCCAAGCUUGCUUGGGUACUCGAGUGGCGAACGGGUGAGUAACACGUGGGUGAUCUGCCCUGCACUUCGGGAUAAGCCUGGGAAACUGGGUCUAAUACCGGAUAGGACCACAUUUUGGAUGGUGUGGUGGAAAGUUUUUCGGUGUGGGAUGAGCUCGCGGCCUAUCAGCUUGUUGGUGGGGUAAUGGCCUACCAAGGCGUCGACGGGUAGCCGGCCUGAGAGGGUGUACGGCCACAUUGGGACUGAGAUACGGCCCAGACUCCUACGGGAGGCAGCAGUGGGGAAUAUUGCACAAUGGGCGCAAGCCUGAUGCAGCGACGCCGCGUGGGGGAUGACGGCCUUCGGGUUGUAAACUCCUUUCGCUAGGGACGAAGCGUUAUGUGACGGUACCUGGAGAAGAAGCACCGGCUAACUACGUG